RNAcentral lists this long non-coding RNA (4111 nucleotides) under Vitis vinifera (wine grape). RNAcentral describes it as "long non-coding RNA (VVIN_LNC005781)". The record is from RNAcentral. Lineage: Eukaryota; Viridiplantae; Streptophyta; Magnoliopsida; Vitales; Vitaceae.
GCUCAUAAGGUCAGCAGCAUACACGAGCACCUCAUACAGCAACUAAUUAUCUGCCAUCAGCAUAUCGGUGAGGCCUUGGACAAAAGACAAUUAACUAUUACAAGAUACAUAAAUUGUGUUUGGAGCUAAUAAAUAAAUUUAUCUUGGGAUGCAGAGGAGAAGAAACAGUUUGAAAGUUACAACAAUCUGGUGCGCAUUUUUGAAAUGCCCCACCUCGACAACCAGAAGGUUUUGAAGACACUGAUUUAUGCCAAGGAAGAUAUACAACCACUGCUGCAAGGCAACACCAAGGCAAGGGUUAAUUCAUAACAUGAUACUCCAUAUUUAGUUUCCUAUCCUUUUAUUCCCAACUAAAUGUGACACACUAGUGACAAUUUCUAUCAAUGUGAACAGGUUAAUAUUGAAAUACUAAGGCGAAAGACUGUGCUAUUGCUAAUAUCAGAUCUUGAUCUUUUGCAUGAGGAGAUUGUGAUUCUCCAUAAAUUUUAUAGAGAACAGAUAAAGAGUGAUGUUGAGUAUGAGGUGGUGUGGCUUUCAGUGGUGGACAGGUCAAAACCAUUGACUGAAGAGAAUCAAAACAAGUUUCAUGAACUGCAAAAGGAGAUGCCAUGGUACACACUGCUACACCCUUCAUUGCUUGAGCCAGCAGUGGUCAGAUACAUUAAAGAGGUGUGGCAUUUCACCAAGAAGGCAAUAUUGGUGGUAUUGGAUCUACAAGGAAAAGUAGUAUGCCGAAAUGCACUCCACAUGAUGUGGAUAUGGGGAAAUACUGCUUAUCCUUUCACUAAUUCGAAAGAGGAAUCACUUUGGAAGGAGGAAACUUGGAGACUGAAGCUGCUGGUAGAUGAUAUUGAUGCAACCAUAUUUGCUUGGGUAGCCCCAUUUUCACAAUUCUUUUAUAGAUACUUCAUUUUCAUUCAUUAUAUAAACACAGAAGCAUGCAUACGAUUGAAUAUAUAAUCUAAUUUUAAACAAGAACAAGCCAUUCUCACACUUGAUACACUGAUAAUAUGGAUUAUGAUUAGUAUGAAAUUCCUUUGAUUACUUUACCAGGUGAACCAGGGGAAAUACAUUUGCAUGUAUGGAGGAGUGAACUCUGACUGGAUCCUGAACUUUAACACAGCAGCACGGGAAGUUGCAAAGGCUGCAGGCAUUCAACUAGAAAUGGUUUAUGUGGGAAAGAGCAACGCCAAAGAGCAAGUGCGGAAGACCAUUACAUUUAUCGAUUCUCGAAGUCUUGGUUACUGCUGGACUGACCCCACUAACAUUUGGUUCUUCUGGACUCGAAUGGAGAGCAUGUUGUACUCGAAGACACAACAUGGCAAGACCAUUGAGAAUGAUUCUAUAUUCGCAGGGGUCCUAACGAUGCUUAGCUUUGAUGGCAGUGAUCAAGGAUGGUCUGUGAUCUGCCACGGACCUACGGAGAUGGCCAAAGCCAAGGGAGACAUGAUUUUAAAAUGCUUUACAGAGUACAGCGAUUGGAGCGACAACGUUCAGCAAAAUGGUUUCAUGCCCGCACUGAAUGAGCACCUCCAAAAACUUCACACUCCAGAACAUUGCAACCGCCUCAUCCUUCCUGGGAUCAAUGGAGACAUCCCAGAAAAGGUGGUCUGUGCAGAGUGCGGCCGCCCAAUGGAGAAGUACUUUAUGUACCGCUGCUGUACUGAUUAAGCUACAGAUCCUAGCAUGAUGUAUAACAUGCUUAUGGUGAAGCCUAAUCGUGUUUAAGUUUGAUCGAGAGGAUUCAUAUUUUGCACUCGUUUUCAUAUUACUAGUAGCCUACAACUAUGUUUCUGUAGUUUCCAAAUGUUUGCAUGUAUGAAGUGCCUGGGACUCUAGUCCCUCUUUAUGCUAGUGUGCUCUAACAACGUGAUAUGGUUAUUAAUGAUGUUGUGUGAAGGCAAUUGAGUACCUCCUGAAACUCUUUCUUUUCUUUUUCAUUCUUUAAUUUAAUUCCUAUGUCAAUUACUUAGAUAGACUGAAGAGUUCAGGUUGGUCAACUACUUAAUCAAAUUCAAUUUAAAUCUAGUGGAAGAAUUUGAUCGAAUAGGACAUAGGGAAUCCUUCUCUCCACAGGGUUAGAAAAUGGAGGUUGGAGAUAGCGAACUACCCAGUUGAGGCUGCAGCCAAGUUUCGCCUUUUGAACCCAGUGAUUUGGAGAUGAUUCUUUAAAGUUGUUUAUGAAGUAGCCGAAAACUGGAUUAUUUGGCUUAAAUGUCUCAUUUUAGAUACGCUAGAAAGAUGUUGUCUAGAAGUUUGCGAAAAUGAAUACCAGCAAUGAAGUGUAAUUUGGUGAAGAAUAAAGUAGAGGAAAAAAGUUCAUGAAUGACUGAAAAUGGUGCCAAAAGUAUGCUAUGUGUAUGAUUUGUUCAUAUCAAAUGACACAAGUUCUGUGGUCAGUCAGUCCCCUUGAGGCAUAAAAACGUGAAAAGCAAAACCAUUUUCAGGGAAACUUAUCCAAGAUCGAAGUGGGGGAAAGAGCAAUACCUCUGUUAAUAAAACCCUUCUGUAAAAUUCAGAGGCGGUUUGCCCAAUUCUUGAACUGGGAGCUUUUAGAGUCCUUCAAUCGGUUCAGCAAUGGAGAGCCCUUGCAGGAAAGUUAAAGUAACAGUAAGCCAAAGGUGAGAGAGUUGCUGACAUGAUUGUUUGAGAUAAUAAAAGUGAAUCAAUGAGAAUGAUGAAGGCAAGCACGUGCAUAUUGAAAGACGCUUUAAAGUUUGGAACUGAGAAUGACUUUGGGAGGUUUUAACAGGAGUGAAAUUGAGCACCAAAUCAUUCAGAAGACUUGGAUUAGCAAAUGCUUUAUCAACAGAUUUAAGUGGCAAAUGCUUAAAUUUUUUCUUCAGACUCCUAGCUGCAGAAUAAUGAGGCAGACCAGUUAAAGAUAAAUGCCUCAGAUUAUUUUCUUGGCUCAGCUUUUUCUGGAAAGAAAAAAGGUGUUUGGGCAGAAAAUAACAGAGGCACAAAACUAGCACUUCAAUAUCUCCAAGGGAUGGCUAAAUGGGAACUGUGCCAUCCUUUUUCCUUUUUAUUGGGGUUUUGCUGUUUAUGCUUUCAAAUUAUCUGUCUACAGUUCUAUACUAGUUGAAUUCGUUUCUUUAUUGGUUUGAACAUUCAAACUUUCAAUUCUGUUAUCGUUUUCUAUACUACUAUGAAUUCCUUUAUCAGUUUGAUUGAACGUUCGAACUUUUAGAAACACCCAUCCUCUAUAAUCUAAUCUUAAAGCAAAUUGAGGCAUUUGUCAGUAAGAUUUGUCAUGCAUGACACAUUAUCCCUGUUCCUAAUCACAUUGUUUAUGUUUCUCCAUUCAUGUCGACCACAAUCUGAUCAAGAACUUCAUUCUAACUAAUCCUCAAUUUAUUUCCCUGAUUCUUGUAACACAAAAUGGGAAAAAAAUUUCAAAAUAGGAAAAUGUCAGCCAUUGAAAGCAUACAAUGACUCAACAAGGUAACUGCAGCAUUAUAACAAACAUGAUAUGGAUCCAAUGCCCAACUAUCAGUAACAAGCUUGUAAACAAAACCCGAAAAAGGCCAAUCAAAUGCAAGGUUAAGAAUCAUUCAAACCUUCAAUCAUCAUCACCAAUAAGUGCAUUACUGAUUCUGCAACCAAAGAAAUAUUCAAAAAAAAAAGAAAAAGAUUUGUGGCAAGAAAAUGUUGUCCCCUCAAGCAUGCCCUCCAAUAUGAAAUCCACCUACAUAUAUAUAUAUAUACAGAGUAUACACAAAUUGAAAGCCUGUAACUUCAUGCUAAAGCCCCAACAAUUAUUCAAGUAAGGAAUAAAAUUCCUCAAUAUUUCUCUUUUUCUUUUGCCCACACUUUUCUCUUUGUUGGAACAAUCAACCUUCACCAUGAUCAUCAUCAUGAAGCGUCUUGCUCAAUUUGUAUAGCAUCGAUCAUAUAUAUGAAUUGUUAUAUCUCUGAGAGGAAAAAAGAAAAAAAAAGAAGCAAGAAUUUGGUGCAUAAAUAUAACUUCAAUUCUAAGGCAACAACUUAGAAAACUUUAUCAUUUCUUCUAAUGAAAGAUUCAAACAACAAAUCUUCAAAGCAUUCCUGCACUUUGAGCUUAACUUUAGACAAACCUUCUAUUUAGUAUUGAAAACCCUGAGAUAAC